GUGUUUUUCACCUCUAGUUGGCUCAGCUUUGUUAUUGUACUUUGUUCAAAAUGGAGCCAUCUAAAGUGCCAAGUCACUUUUCAAGUCAAGUGGUCCAGUAUCCGUCUCUGUCCAGACACGUGUUCCUGUAUCCGUCUUUCCCCAGACACAUGGUCCAGUAUCCGUUUUUGCCCAGACACGUGGUCCAGUACCCAUUUCUGCGGAGACAGGGGGCCCAGUAUUCGUCUCAGCCCAGACAGGGGGCUCAGUAUUCUCCUCAGCCCAGACAGGGGGCCCAGUAUUCUUCUGUGCAGAGACAGAUGGUCCAGUAUCCGUCUCUGCCUCCGUCAUGGCCAUUAAUCAAGCCUUAUGUGGACUGUGGGGAUAAGUGGCAAUCCAAGAUCUUUGCAGACCAUUGGCUGGGCAGAUGCUAUCGUUUCCAGUCGUCGUGCCCCUUGAUACAUCCGUAUGUGUGUGAUAUGGGAAAAAGGCCUCCCUCCACAGUAUGAUCCGGUGCCCGACAACAACUUCGACACUCCAGACCCUCCAGUUGACACGGACAGCGACUCGGAUGGGUCUAGCGUUAGCCAAACGAAGCCAUCGAAGUUAGAGUAUUUACGAUAUCGUGAGCGUCGAUGUAGCGGAAUGCUGGCGAGGGAGGUCUCCACAGUGUGAUGUGUUUGUCAACGCAUACAUUGUUUUCGUUUCAAACAAAAUAUCAGCUUUUUGUCUAUCACAAUGCAUAUACAAAACUAACAUAGUCUCGUUAUCAAAAGCACAUGUCACGGAAAUGCACAUAUGUACACCAUGUUCAUGUUUUUGUGGCUUACAAUGCAUACAAUGUUCUGGUUUUUGAGUACAAUGAUCAGGUUUUUGCAUACAAUGUUCGCGUUUUUUGUUGAUACAUUGAUACAGUAUUGCAUGUAUAUAUGUAUUUUGUUUGACAACAUAGCAUACAUUGACAUUGUUUUGUCCGGAAAAGAAUAAAAAAUAAGUUUCUAGCUGA
Molecule: long non-coding RNA, 985 nt
Organism: Sycon ciliatum
Lineage: Eukaryota; Metazoa; Porifera; Calcarea; Leucosolenida; Sycettidae
Exons: 4
Source: RefSeq, a predicted model, not a curated record